Molecule: ribosomal RNA, 315 nt
Filed under: uncultured eukaryote
Lineage: Eukaryota
Description: partial 18S ribosomal RNA
Rfam family: Eukaryotic small subunit ribosomal RNA
Source: RNAcentral
CCCUUAGACGUUCUGGGCCGCACGCGCGCUACACUGACCAGUGCAACAAGCAUCCGUCCUUGGCCGACAGGCUCGGGCAAUCUUUGAACGCUGGUCGUGAUGGGGAUAGACUUUUGCAAUUUUUGGUCUUCAACGAGGAAUCCCUAGUAAACGCAAGUCAUCAACUUGCAUUGAUUACGUCCCUGCCCUUUGUACACACCGCCCGUCGCACCUACCGAUUGAAUGGUCCGGUGAAGCCUCCGGAUUGGCGCGCACCUCGGUGCCGCCGAGAAGUUGGCUAAACCUUACCAUUUAGAGGAAGGUGAAGUCGUAACA